Molecule: ribosomal RNA, 254 nt
Filed under: uncultured bacterium
Lineage: Bacteria
Description: partial 16S ribosomal RNA
Rfam family: Bacterial small subunit ribosomal RNA
Source: RNAcentral
CACGUAGGGUGCGAGCGUUGUCCGGAAUUAUUGGGCGUAAAGAGCUCGUAGGCGGUGUGUCGCGUCGGCCGUGAAAACCUGCAGCUUAACUGUGGGCUUGCGGUCGAUACGGGCAUCACUGGAGUUCGGCAGGGGAGACUGGAAUUCCUGGUGUAGCGGUGAAAUGCGCAGAUAUCAGGAGGAAUACCGGUGGCGAAGGCGGCAUCCUGGACCGACAUUGACGCUGAGGAGCGAAAGCUAGGGGAGCAAACGGG